CGUGUUUGCUCAGCCAAUAUUGACUUUGCAGGCUAACACUGGUGCUAUUGAGCCAGGGUUAUUCUCAAUAUUGUUUGAGCAGCAUUAGAACAGCCUGUGAUAACCGGCAGCAGCACGGAAGGUGCCCCUCCAUCCUCAGCACCCUCUCCCCCGUCGGUCACAGCCCCCUCCAUGGGACGCUCCUGUAAAGACAGAGGAACCCGUGUGCUCCUGGGGGCAGGCGGACCCAGUGCCCGCUCCUCUGCUGAGCAAACAUGCUGAGGUUAAAGAAGGAGCAUGCUCUCCGGCUAAGUCAACACUCCAGGGAAGCUGGAGCAACCGAGAAAGGUUAGAGGGAGGCUGCCUCUUGGGGUGGGGCUGGUGAAAAACAAUGGUGAGGCAGCUCAGGCUAUGAGCCAAAUCCUGUGGUGAGGAUCUGCAGGGAAAGGCGCCCAGGGACUGGGGCUCACCCGCUCCAGGGGACUAGGCAAUGAGGCAGUGAAUCCAACUAUCAGCCAAGCACCCACAGGGAGAACCUACUGGGUACCAGAGGCUCUACCUAUUAGGACCAGAAGCUUAGAGUGGGAGGGCCCUUGUGGAUAAGCUGUGUCGUUGCAAUAUUUUAAUGAUGAAGACCUAGAAAAACAGCCUCCAUCUUGGGGCUGGUUCAUGCUGAGAGGGAGUAACCAGCCACUGGGUGCAACUUCGCAUCAGAGGACAACCCACUCCUCAGGAAGCACUCUUCCAGCCAGCUGGGCUCAACUCUCCUUAACAGGCACCAACAUGGAAGAUGCCACAGUGAGAGGCCUUAAAAUGUAGGUCAGGAGAGGGGCCUACAGUGACCUCUAUGCAUGUCUUGCUGUAAGGAUAGAUGUCAGGUUCUUCCUGAGAGCCUGUCACCUCGGAGAGGCAGAGGGAACAGAGGAGAGAGACCAGCAGCCAGACCUAUACAGCCUGCACGGGUGAGGUCUACAUGGACCUGUCCUGGUGUCUCCAAGUCCUCCCUUUUCAGUGCUUCGUCUUAGUAUUUCAGAUGCAGAGACAAAUCAGAAGGAAACCCUGCCCUCAAGGAGCGCAUGGUCUGGUGAGGCGCGGAAAGAAGCUGGAGAAACUGAGCCCAGAGAAGAUGAAGAGGACUGAGUCUCUCUCUCCUUUUAACUUUGCAUUGACUCCUGUUCUGCAAAAUGACACUGGGACAUGCUGAUCUCCCUUAAUCAAAUGACUCCGUUUCUGAGAAU
Molecule: long non-coding RNA, 1217 nt
Organism: Manis pentadactyla (Chinese pangolin)
Lineage: Eukaryota; Metazoa; Chordata; Mammalia; Pholidota; Manidae
Exons: 4
Source: RefSeq, a predicted model, not a curated record